RNAcentral lists this ribosomal RNA (253 nucleotides) under uncultured bacterium. RNAcentral's name for it is "partial 16S ribosomal RNA". It matches the Rfam family "Bacterial small subunit ribosomal RNA", at positions 524 to 776 of the family's 1533-position model. The record is from RNAcentral.
UACAGAGGGUGCGAGCGUUAAUCGGAAUUACUGGGCGUAAAGCGCACGUAGGUGGCGACGUAAGUCGGGUGUGAAAGCCCCGGGCUCAACCUGGGAAUUGCAUUCGAGACUGCAUUGCUGGAGUACGGAAGAGGAAGGCGGAAUUCCCGGUGUAGCGGUGAAAUGCGUAGAUAUCGGGAGGAACAUCAGUGGCGAAGGCGGCCUUCUGGGCCAACACUGACGCUCAUGCACGAAAGCGUGGGGAGCAAACAGG